This 332-nucleotide ribosomal RNA is filed under the name uncultured bacterium. RNAcentral's name for it is "partial 16S ribosomal RNA". It matches the Rfam family "Bacterial small subunit ribosomal RNA", at positions 338 to 685 of the family's 1533-position model. The record is from RNAcentral.
CCUACGGGUGGCAGCAGUGGGGAAUAUUGGGCAAUGGGCGAAAGCCUGACCCAGCAACGCCGCGUGAAGGAAGAAGGCUUUCGGGUUGUAAACUUCUUUUGACAGGGAAGAGCAGAAGACGGUACCUGUCGAAUAAGCCACGGCUAACUACGUGCCAGCGGCCGCGGUAAUACGUAGGUGGCAAGCGUUGUCCGGAUUUACUGGGUUUAAAGGGCGUGUAGCCGGGCUGACAAGGCAGAUGUGAAAGCCGGGGGCUCAAUCGCCGAACGGCAUUGGAAACUGGUGGUCUUGAGUAUCGGAGAGGGGGGCGGAAUUCGGGGGGUAGCGGGGAA